AACGAACGCUGGCGGCAUGCCUAACACAUGCAAGUCGAACGGGAUCCAGGCUUCGGCCUGGUGAGAGUGGCGGACGGGUGAGUAACACGUGGGAACCUGCCUUUUGGUUCGGGAUAACCGCGGGAAACUGCGGCUAAUACCGAAUGCUCCCGAGAGGGAAGAUUAUCGCCAGAAGAGGGCCGCGUCGAUUAGGUAGUGGUGGGUAAUGGCCUACCAAGCCGACGAUCGGUAGCUGGUCCGAGAGGAUGAUCAGCCACAUUGGGGACUGAGACACGGCCCACGACUCCUACGGGAGGCAGCAGUGGGGAAUCUUAGACAAUGGGCGCAAGCCUGAUCUAGCCAUGCCGCGUGGACGAUGAAGGCCUUAGGGUUGUAAAGUCCUUUCAGAU
Molecule: ribosomal RNA, 389 nt
Filed under: uncultured bacterium
Lineage: Bacteria
Description: bacterial SSU rRNA
Rfam family: Bacterial small subunit ribosomal RNA
Source: RNAcentral